RNAcentral lists this ribosomal RNA (394 nucleotides) under uncultured bacterium. RNAcentral describes it as "partial 16S ribosomal RNA". It matches the Rfam family "Bacterial small subunit ribosomal RNA", at positions 523 to 918 of the family's 1533-position model. The record is from RNAcentral.
AUACGUAGGGUGCAAGCGUUAAUCGGAAUUACUGGGCGUAAAGCGUGCGCAGGCGGUUUUGUAAGACAGAGGUGAAAUCCCCGGGCUCAACCUGGGAACUGCCUUUGUGACUGCAAGGCCAGAGUACGGCCGAGGGGGGUGGAAUUCCGCGGGUAGCAGUGAAAUGCGUAGAUAUGCGGAGGAACACCGAUGGCGAAGGCAAUCCCCUGGGCCUGUACUGACGCUCAUGCACGAAAGCGUGGGAGCAAACAGGAUUAGAUACCCUGGUAGUCCACGCCCUAAACGAUGUCAACUGGUUGUUGGGUCUUCAUUGACUCAGUAACGAAGCUAACGCGUGAAGUUGACCGCCUGGGGAGUACGGCCGCAAGGUUGAAACUCAAAUGAAUUGGCGGGG